AAUAGCAACAUUGUUCAAAUGUAAACAACCGCCAUUAAAACACACAUCAAAUCAAAAAUUUAUUCGACAAUUCAAAAAAGAUAAGAUGUGUGCGAAAAUUACAAGGGAAGAUGAAAAACGAAUAGCUCUAAUUGAAGCUAAAAAUGAGUUUUAAAACAAAAGUAGUCCAUACUACAAGCUGUAAUCCUGAAAAGAUGCUUUGUGGCAGGAAAUUGGGAAAGAAAUGAAUGCAGAUGAGGAUAAAUGUGCCGCCGUAGACGGCUAGCACUUUCGGAUCGAUACGGGAGGAAAGUGCAAAAGGCUAACGCCCCUCAGGCAGCGGAUUAGAAUUUUUAAGCAGUGGCAUUUGUUCGAUUCGAUGAAGUUUUUGAAGCUACACAUUUUACCACGACCGGCUAGAUUUUCGCAAAAUAUUUAUGAAACCGUAACUCCAGUGCUACCUGCUGUCGCUGUUCAGGCCGAAUCGCAAUCGCAAUCACCAGCUGACGCAGUUCAAUUGCUGUCACAAGGCCAUGCGCACGGGGUGCAAGUGCCAUCACUAUUAUGGUCCUUGUCACCAUUACGCCCUAUCUCGGUAUCGUUGCUUCCACCAUCGCCUCGAUAAACCGUCACCAACUCCCUCCACGUCAACCUCGCUGCCUUCACCGUCCUGCUCUACGCAAGUGACCACCCAAAAGGGUAGAAAACGAGGGUCAUUCACUAGUGAGGUUGACCAAAAUAUAAUGGAAGUAAUUGAGGAAAACAGAUGGUCAUCCAUCCAGGAAACCCAACAACAACCAACCGCAAACCCGGCUAUACAGGCCAUCAGUAAUUUGGUGGUUUCUAUGUUAAAUAAAAUGAGUGAAGAGAAGCAAACCAGAUUAAUUCAAAAAAUUAUGCAAGCUGCAUUUGAAGUGCAACAGGAGCCGCAGUAUAGUUUAUAAAUAGAUAUUUAUAUAAAAUUAGAUUUAAUACAGUUAUGAAUUUGUUAUUUUUAAAUUAUUAAUUUAGUUGUAUUUGUUUUGAUUUUUGAAAAAAUUAAAUUCAUGAAGUUAAAAAAAUUAGUAAUUAUUUCUAAUAAGGUUAAACAUAUGGUCCUCC
Molecule: long non-coding RNA, 1080 nt
Organism: Bactrocera neohumeralis
Lineage: Eukaryota; Metazoa; Arthropoda; Insecta; Diptera; Tephritidae
Exons: 3
Source: RefSeq, a predicted model, not a curated record